AGCCCGUCCUUUCUCCCCCACACAUCGAGCUUGAAGCUCUUUUCCUUCUCUCUCCUGGCCGUGUCCGGCCAUUGCCACCAUCAUCGGCCGAUUUCCCUCGUUGGAGCAUUGCCGGCCAAACCCUCGCGCCACCGGGCUUUCCUCGACGAGGUGAACCCAUUUUUCUUGUUUUCCCUCUCCCUUUGCCAUCCUAUAAGCCACUCUAGCCACUUCAUUUACCGGCCGGAGCUAAGCUCCUAUUCUCACCGUUCCGGCCAUCUCCCUCUCCCUCUCUCCCAACCACUACCCUCCCCGGGUGCGCGUCGCUCGGGAACACCACCCGCCGCCGGCGUCUCCGCCUUCCAGCUGCCGGAAAGCCGGCGCCCCUCCUCCCUGUCCUCCCUGUCUACCCGUGCUAGAAGAGAAGAGAAGAAGAGAGGAACGGGAGGAAGAAGGAGAAAAGGAAAAAGAAAAGAUACUGAGAGAGUCUAAUUGGAGUUUUUGCCGAAGCUGGGAGUUCAAUCAAAUAAGUUAGUUUCCUUUAAACCUAGUCUUCAAGUCUAAUAUAGUUAGACGGUUUAAUUCUAUAGUAAAACAACAUAGUUGGGUCAUCGUAUAGCUUCUGUGGUAGUAGUUAGCCACAAACUUUUAAAUGUCCUCUUAUUUUAUAUAAAGACAUCUCCUUCGGAGCCUUGUUCAAAUGUACGCAAUGAAGAUCCAGAUUGUUGAACCUGUAUCAAUCUACUGAUCCAGGGCUUGAUACAGUUUUAAUAUGUCGGUUUCCGAUUCAUUAGUUUUGGGAUCCGACACCUUCUCCCCCACAAGCGGACAGCUGCGCCCUGCCCUCCCGCAAGCGGCGGCAGCGGCGCCCUGCCCUCCCACAAGCGGCAGCGGCAGCACACUCCCUCGCAGCGAGCGGCUGUGGCAGCGUGGCGAUGGUGGCGUCGCUCCCUCUCCCUACCGCCGGCUCCUUCUCUCUUCGUCAGGCAGUGGCCGCCGCACCACUCUCUCGCCAGAUCCGGCGGGCCGACGGCGAGGUGGCGAGGAGCAGCGUGCUGCAGCCUCCGAUCCGGCUCUCCCCUCCCUCUCCUCUCGUCAUCUCACGUUAAUAUAUGAUGUUUUCUGAUGAUUCCGAUUUAGAUUUGGACUGGGAUUUUGUGUUUGAUUUGGAUUUGGAUUGUGAUGAUUUGAGAUUUGGAGAGAAGGUGUGCUUAAUGUGGGAUUCUAUUUGUGUGAUGAUAGAAUUCCGACUGGGAUUUUGGAGGGGGGGGACGAAAAAUCACCGUAUGGAGGAGGUGAAGAAAGGAAAAAUACGAAUAUUUAUAUUAGUUAUAGAUAUCAAUUUCACUUAUACGUUAACAACAAUGACGAAAAUUACUUCACGUCAAAAACAAUCAAUUAUAUAUUUCAAAAAAAUGAUAACUGAUUCUUGACGUACGUACAUCAAUGCUGCAAGGCCAAAUUCAACUGAAAUAAGUCGCAUGAUUAGUUUAUUUAAUAAAAUGCUAGCAUUGUGCUUGGUUCAUAUCUCGUAUAUUAUCACAGCAUGAAUCUUGGAAGGGAUCAAGUGAUAGAGAAAUCGAUUGUAACUAAGCGAAAAAUUUGGCGACGGUAUUUUAGCAAAUGUUCUGAACCUAACUUUAAUUUUUAUAUAGUCUCCAAUUAAACUAUUUGUCCUACCACAUCAGACAAAAGUGUUCUUGGGAGGCUGCUACAGAUCGGACGUCCGAUCUUGUGGAAAUCAUCGGACGGUGUUGCACCGUGCUGUUGAGGGAUGUUUCACAUAUUUCAUCUCUUGAUAAAAAUUAUUUCAAUAAAAAUGUUUAACUAGCAAAGAAAAAUUUCGGUGCUUGAGCAAAAUUGUUUCAUCCAAAUCAAUAGUUGAACAUAUUGAUUGUAACACUAAAAAUCGAUGUAUGCAACAAUGAGUCAAAAGUUUUACUAGCAGAGAAACAAUAUUCCAGUGCUUGAGCAAAAUUGUUUCAACCAAAUCAAUAGCCGAACAUACUGAUUGCAACAUCAAAAAUCGAUGUAUGCAACAAUCAGUCAAAACGGAACAAACAACUUAAUGAAACAAAGUGCAACAAAAAUACAAAUAAUCUGCAACUUUACUAAAAUUCCCAACAAAACCCAUAUUUGUCUUCUACUAAUACGGUCGGCCGAGCGGAUCGGCGAGGGAGGAAGGUUGCGCGACCGAGGCGUGCCCCGCGACAGAGAUGGAGAGGUAGGGGCCCGAGGAGGCACGGGCCUGGUCGUCGUCGUUGUCGUAGAAGGAGGGGGAGCCACGGAUGUGCGGCUGGCCACGCCGAAGAAGAGCCCAUCAGAGUCGCUGUCGGCCUAGCCGCAGCAGGUGAGCAGUGCAGCGAGGACGGCGCCGGAGACGGAGAGCAUCGCGGCGUCGGUGGGGAUCAUCACCGUGAGAUGGGAUUUUUUUUUUGGGAAGCAAAGCAGUGAGAUGCAAAAGAGGAUAAGGUUGUGCGAAGGAUGGGUUAAAUCAAUGGUGGGCUCCACCGUACGUUUUUCUCCGAUAUUUUUCGUCCCGUCGGAUGGCAGAUGCAAAGCAUUUUCCAUGUUGCCAAAUGCUUUUCGGAUAUGGAAAUAAGUUUUCGAGUGCUUUGUUUAUCAAAAUCUCUAUCUCUACUAUUAUAAAAAUUGAAGACGUUUUUGCCAGUAUUUUGUUACGUCAUGCGUAUUUGAAUCGGUUUUAAUUUUAUGUUUCCAUUUUAAUCUAUCUCUCUACUUAAAAAAAGAAAUUUCUGUCAUCUGUAGAAAAGAAAGAAAAAAAGUCUGACUCAAAAAGGUAAAAAAUAAAUAAAUAAAAAGUCCGACUCAACAAGCGAUAAAAAAAAGCUUCUGUUGUAAGUAAAAAAAACAUCUCAUCGUAAAAAACAAUUAUCCGAUUCCCGUAGAAAAAGUCCGCUUGGUUUUUUUUGGCACCGGGUAUUUUUUUUCCGAUUUUUUGCACGCGAAAGAGUUUUUUAUGCGCACACGCUAAGGUUUUUGGUUUUUUUCCGGCCUUUUUAAUCUAAUCUGUUCACUGUGCGCUUUUGGUUUUUUUUGUCAAUUUUUUUUGCCGAUUUUUUCACCCGUGCGCUUUUUUUUCAUCCGGGUUUUUAAUCCGAUAUGUUCGCCGCACGCCUUCCGACUUGAACCUAGUGACGUGUCGCCGCCAUAUUGAUCGUGCGUUUUCUCCUCCAAUUUAAUUGAAAAAUCAAUUCCACAUUUCUCUCUCAUCAUUUUCUCCAUGAUUUUCCUUUCGAUUCGGCUUUAAUUUAUCAGAUUUAAUCUCCGUUUAACGCUUGCCGUUGAUGACAGUGAUCUUCUCCCAUCGUUUUUAUCCCGAGUUUUACGCUCUGAUUUUGGGGAAAAUGGAAAGAGUAGAUCGAGUGGAUCAAAAACCCUCAACCAAUUCUAGCCGAUCGAGAAAGAUUCGGUCGGAUUUAAUGUGGGCCAAUUUUGGCUGAUCGAGAAUGAUUCGGCCGGAUUUGGAUAAUUGCUCCGACAACCGUACGGGCACGGGACUAUCUUCGGUACUGAUUGAUGUGUUUUUCCAACAAAUGCUUCAUGUGUCGGCAUUCUUCUGUCAAAUGGCCUCCUGGCUCGUAAUUUUGACAAAAUUUGUUGUAACAUUCCUCCAUGGAGUGACCACCCGGGCCAUGUGUUUGACAGAAUUUGCUUUGAUCUUUUUGACUUUCACUUCCUCUGCCUCUUCCAUUGUCAUGUGUUUGGUUCUUCAUAAGCUCCGAUAAAUCCUGCUCGAAAAGUAUCUCUCAUAUGCUCCCACGAGUAGAUUGUCAUAGGAGGAAUUGUUGUAUACCAUGACAAUGCCACUCCUUCCAACAUGGUCGGGAGUUCUUUGGCUUUUGUUGUAUCAUCUCCCCCUGCUGUUUCAUACACCCUCAAGUAUUCAUUGGGGUCUGUAUCCCCUCAGUAUUUUGUAAUGUUUGAUAACUUGAAAUUCGUUGGCCAAGGUGCCAUUUGCAAGUUCUGGCUUAGAGGAUUUUUAGUGUAUAUGGCUCUGGUUGGGUGAAAA
Molecule: non-coding RNA, 4012 nt
Organism: Oryza sativa Japonica Group (Japanese rice)
Lineage: Eukaryota; Viridiplantae; Streptophyta; Magnoliopsida; Poales; Poaceae
Source: RefSeq, a predicted model, not a curated record